GUGGGAGUAGUGCAAGUGAUCCUUAGACCUGAGAUCACCAUGGUGCCUUCUGUAUAUGAUUCUAUAUGUUGGUUCAUUCCCUAACUUGAUUUUUUGAGCCUUGCGUAGGGUAUUCUGGAUAUGGUGCAAUGUGCAUGGAGGCUGUGAGUGGUCAAUAAGGAAUUGAUCACUCCUUAUAAGAGGAGAUAAUAUCUUAUGUGAUCUCAUAGGUUGAUGAUUCAAAAAGUCUUUCACCUAAG
RNAcentral lists this long non-coding RNA (239 nucleotides) under Elaeis guineensis (African oil palm). Its description in RNAcentral is "long non-coding RNA (EGUI_LNC054980)". The record is from RNAcentral. Lineage: Eukaryota; Viridiplantae; Streptophyta; Magnoliopsida; Arecales; Arecaceae.